GACGAACGCUGGCGGCGUGCCUAAUACAUGCAAGUAGAACGCUGAAGGAGGAGCUUGCUUCUCUGGAUGAGUUGCGAACGGGUGAGUAACGCGUAGGUAACCUGCCUGGUAGCGGGGGAUAACUAUUGGAAACGAUAGCUAAUACCGCAUAAUAGUAGAUGUCGCAUGACAUUUGCUUAAAAGGUGCAAUUGCAUCACUACCAGAUGGACCUGCGUUGUAUUAGCUAGUUGGUGAGGUAACGGCUCACCAAGGCAACGAUACAUAGCCGACCUGAGAGGGGGAUCGGCCACACUGGGACUGAGACACGGCCCAGACUCCUACGGGAGGCAGCAGUAGGGAAUCUUCGGCAAUGGACGGAAGUCUGACCGAGCAACGCCGCGUGAGUGAAGAAGGUUUUCGGAUCGUAAAGCUCUGUUGUAAGAGAAGAACGAGUGUGAGAGUGGAAAGUUCACACUGUGACGGUAUCUUACCAGAAAGGGACGGCUAACUCCGUG
This 495-nucleotide ribosomal RNA is filed under the name uncultured bacterium. RNAcentral's name for it is "partial 16S ribosomal RNA". It matches the Rfam family "Bacterial small subunit ribosomal RNA", at positions 28 to 507 of the family's 1533-position model. The record is from RNAcentral.